This 880-nucleotide ribosomal RNA is filed under the name uncultured bacterium. RNAcentral's name for it is "bacterial SSU rRNA". It matches the Rfam family "Bacterial small subunit ribosomal RNA", at positions 11 to 899 of the family's 1533-position model. The record is from RNAcentral.
GUUUGAUCCUGGCUCAGGAUGAACGCUGGCGGCGUGCCUAAUACAUGCAAGUCGAACGAGGUGCUUGAGUAGCAAUACGAGAGUAUCCUAGUGGCGAACGGGUGAGUAACGCGUUGGUGACCUACCCCAAAGUGUGGGAUAACAGUCCGAAAGGAUUGCUAAUACCGCAUGUGGUUCUCGGGUUUAGAAACCGAUAACUAAAGGAGCAAUUCGCUUUGGGAGGGACCUGCGUCCCAUCAGCUAGUUGGUGAGGUAACGGCUCACCAAGGCGACGACGGGUAGGGGACCUGAGAGGGUGACCCCCCACAAUGGAACUGAAACACGGUCCAUACACCUACGGGUGGCAGCAGUAGGGAAUAUUGCACAAUGGGCGAAAGCCUGAUGCAGCAACGCCGCGUGCAUGAUGAAGGCCUUCGGGUCGUAAAAUGCUUUUCUGAGAGAUGAGAAAGGACAGUAUCUCAGGAAUAAGUCUCGGCUAACUACGUGCCAGCAGCCGCGGUAAAACGUAGGAGGCGAGCGUUAUCCGGAUUCACUGGGCGUAAAGCGCGUGCAGGUGGCUUGGUAAGUUGGGCGUGAAAUCUCCCGGCUCAACUGGGAGAGGUCGUCCAAUACUACCGAGCUAGAGAGCAGAAGAGGAAGAUGGAAUUCCCGGUGUAGUGGUGAAAUGCGUAGAUAUCGGGAGGAACACCAGUGGCGAAGGCGAUCUUCUGGUCUGUUUCUGACACUCAGACGCGACAGCUAGGGUAGUAAACGGGAUUAGAGACCCCGGUAAUCCUAGCCGUAAACGAUGUGAACUUGGCGUUGGUGGGUUAAACUCCAUCAGUGCCGAAGCAAACGCGAUAAGUUCACCGUCUGGGGACUACGGGCCGCAAGGUUAAAA